AGUGAACGCUGGCGGUAGGCCUAACACAUGCAAGUCGAACGGCAGCACAGUAAGAGCUUGCUCUUACGGGUGGCGAGUGGCGGACGGGUGAGGAAUACAUCGGAAUCUACUUUUUCGUGGGGGAUAACGUAGGGAAACUUACGCUAAUACCGCAUACGACCUACGUGUGAAAGCAGGGGAUCUUCGGACCUUGCGCGAUUGAAUGAGCCGAUGUCGGAUUAGCUAGUUGGCGGGGUAAAGGCCCACCAAGGCGACGAUCCGUAGCUGGUCUGAGAGGAUGAUCAGACAGACUGGAACUGAGAAACGGUACAGACACCGACGGGAGGAAGCAGUGGGGAAUAUUGGACAAUGGGCGCAAGCCUGACCCAGCCAUACCGCGUGGGUGAAGAAGGACUUCGGGUUGUAAAGCCAUUUUGUUGGGAAAGAAAAGCAGCAGGUUAAUACCCCGCUGUUCUGACGGUACCCAAAGAAUAAGCACCGGCUAACUUCGUG
Molecule: ribosomal RNA, 492 nt
Filed under: uncultured bacterium
Lineage: Bacteria
Description: partial 16S ribosomal RNA
Rfam family: Bacterial small subunit ribosomal RNA
Source: RNAcentral